AGAACUUGCAAGAAGGAAGAGAACUCCAUCAGGUAGCAAUUAUCUAUACAAGCCAAUGUACAGCAGGGAGCCUUCGGAAAGCCCUAUUUACACCUCCUGCUCAAGCUGGCUGGGAGUGCUCACCAUGGGAGGCGAGCGGACUUGGACUUCCAUAAUCGUACAAAUCUAACACGAAGGAAAACUGCGCCUCUCCGGGGAGAAACUACAACUUCCAGGGUUCCGCGGAUUGAAGGCUUGGGCUGUUCUCGGAGGCAAACUACAAUUCCCAGAAUUCCGUUAACCAAGGGGUGGUUCUGGCCUAGGGUCCGAGCAGCUGAGCUCGCGAGCCUGCGCACGUGCACUGGCUGCCGCGCCGGGCUCGCCAGCCAAGCAGGCGCAAGGCGGGCACCCGCGAGCCCCGGCGGCGGCGGUGGGGUGGGUGCCGUGGGACCUGCCCUCCAUGCCUGGUCGUCCCGGGCUCGGGGCGGGGUCAGGAGGCGGCAGCGGCGGCUGAUUCAGCCAAAGCCGACUACGCGGAGGGCCCACCGGGACGCUUCAACGCCACGGAGCCCCGCCUGCGGGCUGCAGACCAGGACAUGAAGGCUUAAGAAUUGGCCCAGGCAGACGCAGAAGGACAAAUACUACAUGAUACCACAUGAUCCCCUCUGUUCCAAGAAGCACUGGAGGAAGGUGUCGAAGAUGCCACCACGCCUGCAGACACAGAGCUGGGCAGCUGGUUGAGGAAGUUGAGGCUUGAGGCGUUAAUCUGCCAAGAUCAUAAAACCAGCUCACACCUAGGAUCUAAAGGAAGGAAGAACAAGCAAACGAGGACCAAGGUCGUUGGGUGCCCCGUGAAGCCUGUCUCCUUUAAGAGUUGCAACACAUCUCGUCCCCCACCAGCAUUCGCUCCCCUGGCCUCCUCCCUGCUGCAGCACCGAGGGCUCUCAGCUCCUCAGCCGUCAUUGGUCCAGGAGGUGGCUGGGUGGGAGUUAACCAUAUCAGCUGCCUGAGUGGACAAGUUAUUCCAUGGGGAGGGAGAACUUUCUGCCCGUAGCUGGAUGUAAACCAGGGAAGCGUGUUGCUUCAUUUGAGGGUGGUGGCCACGUCAUGACCGUGAGAGGAAGCUGCCCAAGGGGAGAAGCGGCAUCCCAGGGAGGCAGAGCAGAGAGGGCGAGUAUUCUCUGACAGAGUCCUUUAGCCACCAGCCCCACCCAGCCAGCCCAGGCUGGAGUGUGGCCUUUGAGCAGGGUGGGAUGUGUGGGCCUUUAAUUGGGCUCGCCCCUCCCUGAUUUGAGUCCUUUGAAUGCCGUGUUUCUUUUUCUUCUUCAUCCCCUGCCCUAUUUCAAUUAAAACCAGGUUUUCUGUGUCUUGAUGGUUUUGAGCACAGUGUUUAGAGUCAGAGGACGCUAGGUUAAUAUCUAGACUUCACACUUGCAUGGCCUUGGGCAAGCGUUGAACCUCAUUGACCUCAGGUUCCUCACCAGAGGAUUGGGAAUAAUGAUACUUCAUAGGGUUGAGGGGAGCACCAAAUGGGAUGUUGUACGUAGAGGCUCUGGGAACCCCUGAAGGCAAGGCAGGCUUGGAGCAAGGGCCAAGCUGGAGGCCUCUGUUAGGACAUCUGUCUUAGCCUUGCCCAAGCAGGAAAAGGGUUUAUUUUUCUUUUCUUAUUCUCUGUGUGGAAUGGCCCAUGUCAGAGACCCUCCAGCCUCCCCAGAUCCCAUCCCAUUGGAGGCUCUACUCAGACGGGGCUGGUUUCCUUGGCCCUUCACAGAUCACCGGACCUUCAUACCCACCCACAGAUCCUAGAUGGACAGGACAUUUUUCAGGGGGCACUAGGAGGAGACAAAAUAUAUCAUCCUGGGUGACCUGUGCCUCUGAGGGCUACCGUCUUUCCUCUUCCUUGUCCAAGGAGCCUCAUGACAAGACCCCUCUGGGGCAGCCCUCAUCUCUGAGAGGUAGUCCAGGUGGAAAUGUGUGGGGUCAAGUCCUGACCUGUGGACAGGUCCUGACCAGUGGCCCUGCCACUGAGACUGUUUCUGGAAAGAAAAAAUGGGGACAGAGUGAACCAUCAUGCCGCAUGGUGGUAAGGAAAGAAUCAGUGGGGUCGUGCAUGCACGUAAGGGACGCCGAACGGCACUGGGACAGCGGGAACCAAUAGGUGUGCGGUGCUUUCCACAUCUGACUGCAGACGAGGUGGAGGCUGCCCCCUGCUCAGAAGCGGGUUCACUCGGAGAGAGAGGACUAGAGACAGCAGGUGAAGGAGGGGUGAAUUCCAGCUCUGUCUUUGAGCUGUGAGGUCUCAGGAGAGUAAGUACAAAGGAGGAUGGACUGCUUCGGCGUGUGAGGGAGCGUCCUGUCACUGCAAGUACCUUGUGAUGCUGGGAUUCUGGCCCCUCCACCCAUUUCAGCAGAGCCAGGUGACAGAGUCGGGCAUGGAGGCCUUCAGUCUGAAGGAGUUCUCAUCCCUGAUCGCCAUCAUUCUGAGUAGGCUCUUGGCGCACAGAGUGGCACUAAACAGUGGGUCAGACAUCAGGACUGGACACAGUACGCCCUGUCAGCCCGUCUGGCGAGCCGCAGUCCCGCAGAAGGCAGCAGCUUGGCUGAGUGUCUUUCUUAGUCCCCAGUGCCAAGGAGGGUGACCUGAGUUCUCCCUCACCGUCCUGGUCUCCCUACCACUGCCUUAUCGUCACUGAGACCAGUGCCCUCUCCAGGAGCACCGAAAAUUGGCCUGGAGAAAGGGGACAUCACCCACUCCGUUUUCUGGUAAGCAAACUUGGCCCAGUUAUUCGCCACCAUUUUGAAUUUCCUCCUGGAGUUUUUUCAUCCAGAAACAUUUUCAAAUGGUGAUGGACAAAGGCCUCUUUUAUGUUGUUUAGUGCUAGGGGUCUGAUUGACGUGCUCUGUGCCUCCACUGUUAUCUUUUGAAAACUCUUCUGAGCAUUUUGCCCGAUCCUUGAGUUCUCCUGGCUUAUGCGGGCUGCUGCAGUGCAUUUGGGGGAUCCGGGGAAAGGGGACACAGAGGGAGUGUGGGAAACAGACCGAAAGAUACUUUACAAUAACCAUUGACUGGCCAAGUACUUGUUGGUUUUUUCCUACUGCACUUUGGCUACUUCACAGCAGGUGAAAAUGCAAGGGUGGCUUGUCAUCUGUCUUCACAGUGGCAAAAUACAGAAAUAACUGGGUUAGUUAAUGUUCCCCCAGAAGCAGAUCCUGAGACAAAGAUUCAAGGAGAAGUAGAUUAUUUGAACUGCAUCCCAAUAAACAUGAAUAGGGGCAUGAAGAACUGAGACCGGGAAGGGAAAAGGGGCAUGCCUCAGGCCGAUUAUGGUGUGGGCAACCGCCUAAUCCGUCAGGAACUCUGGUGCCGGUGUAGAACGUGCCUCCGAACUCUCCUACCUGGGGAGGAUGGGGUUUUCUUUCUUUAUUUUUUUUUCUCUCUCUUCCUUCCUUCCUUCCUUCCUUCCUUCCUUCCUUCCUUCCUUCCUUUCUCAUUCGUAUUUUAAUCCCAGCAUAGUUAACAUACCGUGUUGUAUUAGUUUCAGGUAUACAAUAUAGUGAUUCAACAGUUCCACAGGAGUGGGGUAUUUAUGCAACUCUUCUCAUCAGAUGUUGGUGCAGGCUGCCUGGCCUGAACAUGGUCAAGUUAGAAACCCACGCAGUCUGGCCUCUGGGCCCCGUGCUUUAACCACCGCAUGAUUUCUAGCGAAAUUCUCUGCCCAUCCCCAGCAAACCUUCCUUCCCAUUUUCCUCCUUGGGAGACAACUUGCGAGCCUGAAGGGCCCCGUGGUCCAAUCUGUAUUUGUCCUGUCUUCUGUCGGCAUCCUUCUGGCCCGGCAGGGAAGGGGGUGGUCACUUAGCAUCUACCUAGACAUAGUCCUCUCUCCUCCCCAGGCUCAAAGGCUAGCCUCUGCCUGGUUGCCUCAUCACGUCCUGAACCCCAUAGUUUCCAGUUCCCAUAAGCUUGAUCCCAAUUCUGAGCUUAGGGCCUCCCUGGGAUUGGUUACUGCUCGCACAGGUCCAGAGGAGAGCCCCGGCCUCCUUCCUCUUGUGGCCCCACCUCACUCCCCACCUGCCUGCUGCCAAGCUCGCGUUUCGCUGCAGGGAGGCCUAGCAGAGGGGCAGGUGGCACACACCCACCUAGAGAGGUGCCCGUGCAGGUUAGAGGUUGGUCUUUCCUUGUGUCCCUGCAGCUCUUGCUCCCUGACGUUCCCUGGGUGUGUCCGCUGCAGCCUUAGCUGCUGUUGGACAAGUUCCCGUCUGUGAUCAGAACAAAACCCGCAUCAGCGCCUGCCCCGUGCAUCUGCCUCCCAUCUCUCCAGGGAGGGCUCUGUUUAUCUUAUAUUUUCUAAAUAUUCACUUAUUACUUAUCCAUUCCUUAGAAUUCUGUCAUUUGCAGCAGGGAUUUAUUUGAUUCUUUGUUGUUACCUUUUUGACUUUUUAUUACGGAAAACGUCAGACACAGAAGAGGACCACAGAAAGGCCGUCAUCACCAUCUUUCACAAUUAUCAAUUUGCUACCGUCUCGGUCCAUCUGCCUCCGUGCUUUUUUUGCUGGAGUAUUUCAGAACAAACCACAUACAUGUCAUUUUACCUAAUGUUCUCUUGUUAAGUUUUCUAACUUUUUAUGACUUUUUAAGUAAUUUUAGACUUACAGAAAAGUUACAGAAAAUGCUUCACUCAGCUUCCUCUGAUGUUAAAUCUUACAUAACCACAGUGCAAUGAUCAAAACCAGGAAAUUUACAUAGCACCAUUACCUAAACUACAGACCUUAUUCAAAUUCUGCCAGUUUUCCCACUAAUGUCCUUUUUCUGGUGCAAGAUCCUACCUUGUGUUUAAUUGUCGUGUCGAUGAGCACUGGAUGUUAUAUGUAAGUGAUGAGUCACUAAAUUCUAUUCCUGAAAUCAUCAUUAUACUAUAUGUUAACUAAGUUGGAUUUAAAUUUAAAAAUAAUAAUUUUAAAACAAUUUAAAAAAAUGGCGUGUCUCCUUAGUCUCCUUCAAUCUGGGACAGCUUCUCAGUCAUUCCUGGUCUUUUGUGACCUUCACUCUUGACGAAUCCUGGUCAGGUAUUUUGUAGAAUGUCCUUCAAUUUGGGUUUAAUGUUUUCUCUAUUAACUUCUCUAUACGCUAUAUUCAGAGCUAACAGUGGAGCUAGACCAAAUUUCCCUAUUUAGAACUAUAGAUCGAGGUCGUGUGUUUGGGUAAGAAGAUGACAGAAGUGAGGUGCCCUCCUCAGUGCAUCAUUGUCAAGGGGUACAUGAGGUCAGUAAGUUAUCACUGGUGAUGGUAACGUCGAUUACUUGUUUCAGGGGCUGUCUGCCAGGCUCCUGUGCCGUAAAAGUUCUAUUUUUUGCCUUCGUAAUAGAUAUGUAUCUCACAGGGAGACAGUUUGAGACUAUGCAAAUAUCCUAGUUCUCGUCAUAUUUCCACGCACUAAUUUUAGCAGUCCGGCAGUGGAUCUUGCCUGGAACCAUUAUUACUGUGAUGUUGGCCAAAUGGCGAUUUUCUGUUUCCGUCACUGCUUCUACAUUGACUAAUUGGAAUUCUACUGUAAGAAAGAUCUGUUCCUUUGUCCUUAUUUAUUUACUCAAUUGUGUAUUCGUAUCAGUAUUGACUCUUGCAUACUUACUGUGUUCUCUGGGUUCUAAUCCAUUCCUAUUGCUUUAAAAAAAAUUUUUUUAAUGUUUAUUUUUGAUAUAUGUAGAGAGACAGAGCAUGAGU
This is an RNA transcript of Prionailurus viverrinus (fishing cat), 5698 nucleotides long. It is a transcript of the gene named protein O-linked mannose N-acetylglucosaminyltransferase 2 (beta 1,4-), with no coding region annotated. The record is from RefSeq and is a predicted model, not a curated record. Lineage: Eukaryota; Metazoa; Chordata; Mammalia; Carnivora; Felidae. The transcript is spliced from 7 exons.